This 301-nucleotide ribosomal RNA is filed under the name uncultured bacterium. RNAcentral describes it as "partial 16S ribosomal RNA". It matches the Rfam family "Bacterial small subunit ribosomal RNA", at positions 509 to 807 of the family's 1533-position model. The record is from RNAcentral.
CAGCAGCCGCGGGAAUACGUAGGUGGCAAGCGUUGUCCGGAAUUAUUGGGCGUAAAGGGCUCGCAGGCGGUUUCUUAAGUCUGAUGUGAAAGCCCCCGGCUCAACCGGGGAGGGUCAUUGGAAACUGGGAAACUUGAGUGCAGAAGAGGAGAGUGGAAUUCCACGUGUAGCGGUGAAAUGCGUAGAGAUGUGAAGGAACACCAGUGGCGAAGGUGACUCUCUGGUCUGUAACUGACGCUGAGGAGCGAAAGCGUGGGGAGCGAACAGGAUUAGAUACCCCGGUAGUCCCUGUCUCUUAUAC